This is a long non-coding RNA of Antechinus flavipes (yellow-footed antechinus), 3380 nucleotides long. RefSeq lists it as uncharacterized. The transcript is spliced from 2 exons. Lineage: Eukaryota; Metazoa; Chordata; Mammalia; Dasyuromorphia; Dasyuridae. The record is from RefSeq and is a predicted model, not a curated record.
UUGAUCAAUCUGGUAGUAUGGAUGAAUUGGAAUUGUUACUCAUACCUGAGAAACAAUGUACUCUACAGCCCAUCUCUAAACUCCUUUCUUGGGGCAGGACCAUUUUCUCUAAAAUAGAAACUUAGCAAGUGCGCUCUGGAUGAUGUUUGAAGGGUCCUGUUUUUUGUUGCCUACAUCUUUAAUGGAUUUGUUCCUGCUCUACCUUGUCCACCUAAUCGUGAUUACUAGUGAACAUCCAGGUUAUAAAAUCCAGCACUUGAGGCUUCACCUGUAGGAAUUAAGUUGAAUUGUGCUUUUUUCAUGAAGCCGCAACAAAAAUGUGCUUCCAGCGUCUGGGGAAGGAGUAUAAUUAGGGAUACAACUGCACAUCCGUAUUGAGGAAGUUAUUUCCUUUUUGGCCCAGUCUGUGCAGUAGCUGCUUUGCAGUUUUCCUUUUUUUUGAAAGGAAAGAAAUGCGGUUGGAGCCCCUGGGGAUCAGUGCUUCCCUUGGGGAGGAGGGGCAGAAAUAAGGAAUUGCGGCUUCUGUAACCCAGAGAGAGAAGGAGGCUAGAAAACUGAGAGGAGGGUUCUGGAAAUGAUCGGAAUAGGCUAGGCAAAAGAAGUUCCCGUCUUCUUUUCUUCUUUCAGUCCUAAUCUCAGCCUCAGCCCCAGUCCUAGCUCUAUCCUGAGUUUAUUUACAGCAAAAAUCACACUCAUAAAAGUUUCUAGUUUACAAAUUGGUGAGCCCCAAGUUGCUUUAAAAAAAAAAAGAGUGUAAGGAAAAAGGCAAAAGAGAGAGAAACGGAGAGAUGGGAGGAGAUGGGGAGGAGGAGAAGAAGGGGAAAAAAAGGUUACAAGUAAAAAUUACUUCUGAGCGUCUGUUAACCAGGUCCCGGGCGACUCUGGGCGACUCUUGGCGCCCCCUCUCUGCCAUUCUUACCGAUUCCUACUUCUUACUGCCUUGACUUCCCCAGCUGAGAUUUAGUGCGCACAAAAUUCUUCAGAUGGACUGCUAGUGAAAAACAAACAAAAAACAAAAAACAAACAAACAAACAAAAAAAAAACCCGACGCAUCCUGUCUAGCCUUACUUGGAAACGUUAAUGUUUGAAAGGCGAAUACGUGAAUUUGGACCCUCUUAACCCCAGAGGAAUGAGAGGCGCAUGUUGAGCUGAAAUUCUAAUAACCAAGGGAAGAAAUUUUGGGGGGCAAUAAAUUCGCCUUUUUCUGUACUGGUGCGCUCCAGGAUUAGUGAAGUCCAGCCGGUGAUCAGAGAAUGGAUAAAAAAGGGAAUCGCAGAAAGACCUAAGGUGUUUAUAAAACUAGGAAAAUCGGAGGCCAUUAUUCUUUCCUCCCAAGGCUCCCAUUCUGGAGUCUCUACUACGUGUACACACUACUGCUCAGACUUCGACAACCGGAUUCUGACCAUUCUUCAUCGAGGAAGCACGUCGGUUUGGGUCAGUGUAGCUAGUUGCCUCUGGCAACUAUGAAAAUCGGGCUUUGGCCAAAAUGCCUGCGGAAGCGCAAAGUUCCAUGAAGUUAGGUUGGGAUACAGAAACUAAAGGGAGUCACUUUACCCGAAUCAAAGGCAACAGGCAGGGCAGAAGUGGAAGGCCAAUUAUAGUAUGAGACAGGUGUGGGGUCUUGGUACUGAGGAAACUCCUUCAAAAACAAAUAUCUGUUUAGCCGUGAAUUUUUUAAAAAUAUAGAAAUUAGUAAUUGGGCCAUUCCUGGAGGAAGAUGGUUUCGUUAUUUUCUUCCAUUGUAGACAGUUUGUUUGAGGGUCUAAUGCAUGGUUGAUUACUUCGGGUAACCAGUAAAGCACCUCCCCUUUUUCUAAUAUCCAAGUGCACCAGAAAACCCCAGAAAGAGAAAGCUGCCUCCUGAAUAUGUGCCUUUCUCCGAACUUGCCCUGCACUGAAUGACUUUUUCCCUAGUAAAGCUCGUCACAGGAAAGAGGCUAGGCUGUGAAAUAAGGAAUGAACCUGAAUUUACCUGAAAUCAGUGACCCCAACGAGGUUGACAAAAACCUGCUGUGGAACUGGUCGCCUAACAAUCUUGAUGUUAAAGAAAGAGGGCUUUGCCCAGAUCCAAAUAAGUAUUUGUGGAAUUUGGUGAGAGGAGUUAUUCAAAGUCUCGUCAAUUGCUUUAAAAGUGGUUUUCUGGGAGAAUUAAGGCAUGAGAACGGGAAAAUGAGGAAAGACAGCAAGAAAACCGAAGCUGGUCUGGGAGAUGGGGAGUGGGAAAAGAGAUUUUAUUACCUUUGAUUAGGGAAUUCUCUUUUACAAACGUGUUCGUUUUCCUGGACUGGGGACUUCUGAAUUCUUCAUUGCAACAGUACACUAGGGAUGGACUUAAGAAAUUCAAGCAAGGAAUUAAUUUACAGAGUCCCAUUUUAUCAGUAUCUGACGGGAAGAGAGUGGACAACAGGAAUAGAGAUUGUAAAGAAAGGCUAAAAGAACGGGGAGCAGUGGGGUGAUCCUGGGUGUUUAAAAAGAAAAAAGAAAAAAAAAAAGGUAUUUGAGCCUCUUGCAGACCCUGUAGAGAGCCACAGUUCUCACAGUUCUGGAUUAAGGCCACUGUGGGGCGCCAAAGCUCUACUAGACCAGAGAUGGUGUGCGAAGCGGAUUCAAGAAAAGGAAUCCGGGAGAACAGAUGCACUUGGGAGGGAGGAGAGGAGGAGUGAAGAGGGACAAGGGAAGUAAGCAAGUGUGUGUUGGGGGUGGUGGUGGGGAGGACUUUUAUUCUCCUGUUAAAUUCGCCAGGGAGACUUUGUUACAUAACAUAUUUGUGCGUGGGGUCCCCACAGGGUUAGCCCAACCCAUCUACAACCCCAGAGGACUCCUCAAUCUUCCACUUACAAAGGGUGAGAGGCAUGGCUGAAAGCAACCUCCCUGAGCCUUGGGAGCGCCCUGGAUGCUCAACCGUCAGCUGCCAAGGAAAGCUGAUUUUAUUUGAGCCUCCCCUCUUUGGAUGCUGGAGAGCAGGAGGCGGAGAGGACUCUGCAAGGCGCUGCGCGGCGGGACAGAGCUGAGAAGGGGUUAAGAUGAGAAGGAUGGGGGUGGGGAGAGAGGCUGGAACUAGAGAAGUGUGGACCAGACUUCCAGGACAGAAUAUUCUUAGAGACUUUUCGCUGUUGCACCUCGUGAGCUUGUUGUUGUUAUAUUAUUAUUAUAUUCAGGCCAUUCGAAAAGGUUAGGAACCUAGAUUUAGAAAUGGGAUAAUCCGAGUCUAAAUAUUAAAAGUAAAAUCAGAACCAGACUAAUAUUUACCCAGACUACCAUAAGUAUUUCGCUUUGCAAAUGGGAAGAAAAGUGCUGGAAGAGAGCACUGGCUGCAUGACUUCGUCGGUUUUACAUUUUUCCUUGCAAAGAUACAAAGGGACAAUAAAGAUAAAAAGCAA